CGCAGUGGGGGCGCUAACCAUGCAAGUCGAACGAUGAAGCCCAGCUUGCUGGGUGGAUUAGUGGCGAACGGGUGAGUAACACGUGAGUAACCUGCCCUUGACUCUGGGAUAAGCCUGGGAAACUGGGUCUAAUACUGGAUAUGACCUCUUGCCGCAUGGUGGGAGGUGGAAAGAUUUAUUGGUCUUGGAUGGACUCGCGGCCUAUCAGCUUGUUGGUGAGGUAAUGGCUCACCAAGGCGACGACGGGUAGCCGGCCUGAGAGGGUGACCGGCCACACUGGGACUGAGACACGGCCCAGACUCCUACGGGAGGCAGCAGUGGGGAAUAUUGCACAAUGGGCGCAAGCCUGAUGCAGCGACGCCGCGUGAGGGAUGACGGCCUUCGGGUUGUAAACCUCUUUCAGCAGGGAAGAAGCGAAAGUGACGGUACCUGCAGAAGAAGCGCCGGCUAACUACGUGCCAGCAGCCGCGGUAAUACGUAGGGCGCGAGCGUUAUCCGGAAUUAUUGGGCGUAAAGAGCUCGUAGGCGGUUUGUCGCGUCUGCCGUGAAAGUCCGGGGCUUAACUCCGGAUCUGCGGUGGGUACGGGCAGACUAGAGUGCAGUAGGGGAGACUGGAAUUCCUGGUGUAGCGGUGAAAUGCGCAGAUAUCAGGAGGAACACCGAUGGCGAAGGCAGGUCUCUGGGCUGUAACUGACGCUGAGGAGCGAAAGCAUGGGGAGCGAACAGGAUUAGAUACCCUGGUAGUCCAUGCCGUAAACGUUGGGCACUAGGUGUGGGGGACAUUCCACGUUUUCCGCGCCGUAGCUAACGCAUUAAGUGCCCCGCCUGGGGAGUACGGG
RNAcentral lists this ribosomal RNA (839 nucleotides) under uncultured bacterium. Its description in RNAcentral is "bacterial SSU rRNA". It matches the Rfam family "Bacterial small subunit ribosomal RNA", at positions 34 to 886 of the family's 1533-position model. The record is from RNAcentral.